This 250-nucleotide ribosomal RNA is filed under the name uncultured bacterium. RNAcentral's name for it is "partial 16S ribosomal RNA". It matches the Rfam family "Bacterial small subunit ribosomal RNA", at positions 779 to 1028 of the family's 1533-position model. The record is from RNAcentral.
UAGAUACCCUGGUAGUCCAUGCCGUAAACGAUGAGCGCUAGGUGUUGGGGACUUUCCGGUCCUCAGUGCCGCAGCAAACGCAUUAAGCGCUCCGCCUGGGGAGUACGACCGCAAGGUUGAAACUCAAAGGAAUUGACGGGGGCCCGCACAAGCGGUGGAGCAUGUGGUUUAAUUCGAAGCAACGCGAAGAACCUUACCAGGUCUUGACAUCCUGUGCUACACCUAGAGAUAGGUGGUUCCUUCGGGGACG